This 301-nucleotide ribosomal RNA is filed under the name uncultured bacterium. RNAcentral describes it as "partial 16S ribosomal RNA". It matches the Rfam family "Bacterial small subunit ribosomal RNA", at positions 509 to 807 of the family's 1533-position model. The record is from RNAcentral.
CAGCCGCCACGGUAAAACAGAGGGUGCAAGCGUUAAUCGGAAUUACUGGGCGUAAAGCGCGCGUAGGUGGUUUGUUAAGUUGGAUGUGAAAGCCCCGGGCUCAACCUGGGAACUGCAUCCAAAACUGGCAAGCUAGAGUACGGUAGAGGGUGGUGGAAUUUCCUGUGUAGCGGUGAAAUGCGUAGAUAUAGGAAGGAACACCAGUGGCGAAGGCGACCACCUGGACUGAUACUGACACUGAGGUGCGAAAGCGUGGGGAGCAAAUGGGAUUAGAUACCCCAGUAGUCCCUGUCUCUUAUAC